RNAcentral lists this small RNA (1076 nucleotides) under Pan troglodytes (chimpanzee). RNAcentral describes it as "retained intron". The record is from RNAcentral. Lineage: Eukaryota; Metazoa; Chordata; Mammalia; Primates; Hominidae.
GGAGACUGUGCCGACAUGGAGCUGGGCCUCGCGGGCCGCCGGGUGCUGGUCACCGGGGCAGGCAAAGGUAUAGGGCGCGGCACGGUCCAGGCGCUGCACGCGACGGGCGCGCGGGUGGUGGCUGUGAGUCGGACUCAGGCGGAUCUUGACAGCCUUGUCCGCGAGUGCCCGGGGAUAGAACCCGUGUGCGUGGACCUGGGUGACUGGGAGGCCACCGAGCGGGCGCUGGGCAGCGUGGGCCCCGUGGACCUGCUGGUGAACAACGCCGCUGUCGCCCUGCUGCAGCCCUUCCUGGAGGUCACCAAGGAGGCCUUUGACAGAUCCUUUGAGGUGAACCUGCGUGCGGUCAUCCAGGUGUCACAGGUGAGCUGCCCUGUGGGCUGGACGGGAAUUCUCGUGAGUGAUGCCAGCUCUGCCUCACGGUCUCGCUGCAAUUCCAGAUUGUGGCCAGGGGCUUAAUAGCCCGGGGAGUCCCAGGGGCCAUCGUGAAUGUCUCCAGCCAGGGCUCCCAGCGGGCAGUAACUAACCAUAGCGUCUACUGUGAGUGCCCCAGCUGCGCCCUCAGCCCCACCCCCGCCACAGCCUCGCCCUCAUCACCGGCCCCAGCUCCAGCCAGCUUCGGUUCCUCUUCAUAGGCUCCACCAAGGGUGCCCUGGACAUGCUGACCAAGGUGAUGGCCCUAGAGCUCGGGCCCCACAAGGUGAGCAGGGCUGGGGUACCUCCCCCAACCUAGGGCACCCCACUUGCCCUGCUGACCCCAGCUGUCCCGGUGUAGAUCCGAGUGAAUGCAGUAAACCCCACAGUGGUGAUGACGCCCAUGGGCCAGGCCGCCUGGAGUGACCCCCACAAGGCCAAGACUAUGCUGGACCGAAUCCCACUUGGCAAGUUUGCUGAGGUAGAGCACGUGGUGGACGCCAUCCUCUUUCUGCUGAGUGACCGAAGUGGCAUGACCACGGGCUCCACUUUGCCGGUGGAAGGGGGCUUCUGGGCCUGCUGAGCUCCCUCCACACACCUCAAACCCCAUGCCGUGCUCAUCCUACCCCCAAUCCCUCCAAUAAACCUGAUUCUGCUGCCCA